UACGUAGGGACCAAGCGUUGUUCGGAUUUACUGGCGUAAAGGGCGCGUAGGCGGCCACCGCAAGUCAAUUGUGAAAUCUCCGGGCUUAAACUCGGAAAGGUCAACUGAUAACUGCGGGGCUAGAGUGCGGAAGGGGCAACUGGGAAUUCUCGGUGUAGCGGUGGAAAAUGCGUAGAUAUCGAGAGGAACACCUGCGGCGAAGGCGGGUUGCUGGGCCGACACUGACGCUGAUGCGCGAAAGCCAGGGGAGCGAACGGG
RNAcentral lists this ribosomal RNA (258 nucleotides) under uncultured bacterium. Its description in RNAcentral is "partial 16S ribosomal RNA". It matches the Rfam family "Bacterial small subunit ribosomal RNA", at positions 524 to 776 of the family's 1533-position model. The record is from RNAcentral.